RNAcentral lists this ribosomal RNA (746 nucleotides) under Actinobacillus hominis. RNAcentral's name for it is "bacterial SSU rRNA". It matches the Rfam family "Bacterial small subunit ribosomal RNA", at positions 52 to 787 of the family's 1533-position model. Lineage: Bacteria; Pseudomonadati; Pseudomonadota; Gammaproteobacteria; Pasteurellales; Pasteurellaceae. The record is from RNAcentral.
CACAUGCAAGUCGAACGGUAGCACAAAGGAGCUUGCUCCUUGGGUGACGAGUGGCGGACGGGUGAGUAAUGCUUGGGAAUCUGGCUCAUGGAGGGGGAUAACUACGGGAAACUGUAGCUAAUACCGCGUAAUAUCUUCGGAUUAAAGUGUGGGACCGCAAGGCCACWUGCCAUGAGAUGAGCCCAAGUGGGAUUAGGUAGUUGGUGGGGUAAAGGCCUACCAAGCCGACGAUCUCUAGCUGGUCUGAGAGGAUGACCAGCCACACUGGAACUGAGACACGGUCCAGACUCCUACGGGAGGCAGCAGUGGGGAAUAUUGCACAAUGGGGGGAACCCUGAUGCAGCCAUGCCGCGUGAAUGAAGAAGGCCUUCGGGUUGUAAAGUUCUUUCGGUAGCGAGGAAGGUGGUAAUGUUAAUAGCAUUAUCAAUUGACGUUAACUACAGAAGAAGCACCGGCUAACUCCGUGCCAGCAGCCGCGGUAAUACGGAGGGUGCGAGCGUUAAUCGGAAUAACUGGGCGUAAAGGGCACGCAGGCGGUUGAUUAAGUGAGAUGUGAAAGCCCCGGGCUUAACCUGGGAAUUGCAUUUCAUACUGGUCAACUAGAGUACUUUAGGGAGGGGUAGAAUUCCACGUGUAGCGGUGAAAUGCGUAGAGAUGUGGAGGAAUACCGAAGGCGAAGGCAGCCCCUUGGGAAUGUACUGACGCUCAUGUGCGAAAGCGUGGGGAGCAAACAGGAUUAGAUACCC